UCUUAACGUAAAAAGGUAAUAAAAUAUAAACCUAUUUCCUUUGACGGCCUUUUUUCUAAUCAAAGGAACCUGUUAAUUAAUCGAGAUUACACGUUCAGUUUUUCUUACUUUUUGUUUUUAUACCGUCGUCUAAAGAUCACGCUUAAAAGCAUGCUCAUAUUUGGUAAAUCAACUAAGUCAGAUCAAGGUGAAGCUUAUAAGUAAGGCACUAAUGGGUUAUUCAUAAAAAUAAUUUUAGGAUUAGGAUUAAAAAAUUCUAUAAAUUAAGAUUUGGAAGUACUUAUUAGAUAAUAACUAACAAGGAAAAAGUAAAAUAAG
RNAcentral lists this ribosomal RNA (318 nucleotides) under Chenistonia sp. MYG348. Its description in RNAcentral is "partial 12S ribosomal RNA". Lineage: Eukaryota; Metazoa; Arthropoda; Arachnida; Araneae; Anamidae. The record is from RNAcentral.